GGGCAUGUGGUGUAGUUGGUUAUCACGCUCGCUUAGCAUAGACCAUUGUGCAGGCCUGCGAGAGGGGUCCGGUUCAAUCCCGGACAUGUCCA
Molecule: non-coding RNA, 92 nt
Organism: Lenzites betulinus
Lineage: Eukaryota; Fungi; Basidiomycota; Agaricomycetes; Polyporales; Polyporaceae
Source: the annotation of a GenBank genome assembly